This 224-nucleotide ribosomal RNA is filed under the name uncultured bacterium. RNAcentral describes it as "partial 16S ribosomal RNA". It matches the Rfam family "Bacterial small subunit ribosomal RNA", at positions 111 to 334 of the family's 1533-position model. The record is from RNAcentral.
UAACGCGUGGGGAACCUGCCCUAUACAGGGGGAGUAACAGCUGGAAACGGUUGCUAAUACCGCAUAAGCGCACAGAAUCGCAUGAUUCAGUGUGAAAAGCCCUGGCAGUAUAGGAUGGUCCCGCGUCUGAUUAGCUGGUUGGUGAGGUAACGGCUCACCAAGGCGACGAUCAGUAGCCGGCUUGAGAGAGUGAACGGCCACAUUGGGACUGAGACACGGCCCAA